RNAcentral lists this long non-coding RNA (563 nucleotides) under Equus asinus (donkey). RNAcentral describes it as "lncRNA (ENSEASG00005024848.1)". Lineage: Eukaryota; Metazoa; Chordata; Mammalia; Perissodactyla; Equidae. The record is from RNAcentral.
CCCAAUCCCUGGACACAUCUUUGGAGCCUGGCUGCUGUUGACGCUACUCCCAGCUGCUUUGGGUUCGGGUUUGACCUGGCCACAGUGAUUGGGUCCAGAACUAUUGAGAGCAAAUGAGACUGCUGCUGGGCUACAAAGAAGGAAGCCGGUAUUUUUUCCUGAUCCCGAACAUUACAGGAUAUAAGAUAGAACUGCUUCAGCCAUCUUGCCAUCAGAGAGGAAGGGCAGAUCCGAGAAUCCAGCCAAGACAGAGAAAGGAAUUAUACAGGCUUCAUCACAAGACUCUGGGACAUCUUUAUCGCCAAAAAGACAAAGGAAACUGAAUGAAUGGUCCUUACACACCUGGAUGCCACUCAGGUUGGGAUUAUUAAGUGAGGGCACUGAGUGCUCCUGGCCGAGAGCCGUGCUCCUCCUGGAGAGACAGGAUGGAUGACUACAUUCAGGAAAGGGAACCGGCAAGGAAUAGACAGGAGGCAUAAGGCCCUUCAUCUUGUUCGAUCUGGAGUCUUUUCUUACGUAAAAUUCAAGCUUUUGAAAGCAAUUCCCCACCUUAAAUCACAGAG